UUGCACGCUGGCGGCAGGCCUAACACAUGCAAGUCGAGCGGAUGAAGGGAGCUUGCUCCUGGAUUCAGCGGCGGACGGGUGAGUAAUGCCUAGGAAUCUGCCUGGUAGUGGGGGAUAACGUCCGGAAACGGGCGCUAAUACCGCAUACGUCCUGAGGGAGAUAGUGGGGGAUCUUCGGACCUCACGCUAUCAGAUGAGCCUAGGUCGGAUUAGCUAGUUGGUGGGGUAAAGGCCUACCAAGGCGACGAUCCGUAACUGGUCUGAGAGGAUGAUCAGUCACACUGGAACUGAGACACGGUCCAGACUCCUACGGGAGGCAGCAGUGGGGAAUAUUGGACAAUGGGCGAAAGCCUGAUCCAGCCAUGCCGCGUGUGUGAAGAAGGUCUUCGGAUUGUAAAGCACUUUAAGUUGGGAGGAAGGGCAGUAAGUUAAUACCUUGCUGUUUUGACGUUACCAACAGAAUAAGCACCGGCUAACUUCGUG
RNAcentral lists this ribosomal RNA (483 nucleotides) under uncultured bacterium. Its description in RNAcentral is "partial 16S ribosomal RNA". It matches the Rfam family "Bacterial small subunit ribosomal RNA", at positions 30 to 507 of the family's 1533-position model. The record is from RNAcentral.